Molecule: long non-coding RNA, 1244 nt
Filed under: Gadus morhua (Atlantic cod)
Lineage: Eukaryota; Metazoa; Chordata; Actinopteri; Gadiformes; Gadidae
Description: lncRNA (ENSGMOG00000028317.1)
Source: RNAcentral
CAGUAAUCCCCGUUUGCAGUGGCAGCUCCUUUCCUUCUGAGGCAACGGCAAUGAGGGGGUUGAGGAAUUUCAGUUCAGCCUCAGCCUCUCCCUCAGACGCCAAGUCUUGUGAGUUUCAUGCGUGGACCCACCGUAUCCUGCUAAAACAAACAGCAUUGAGGAGGCUGUACCCAGAGACAAAGAGCCAGUCGCUGCAGGAUUCACCAGGUUCAGAACCUUCCCCACCCUGACCCCAUCAUCACCGCUGCUCUCCAGGACCUUGCCCAGAUAAUCCCGCAGUCCAUGGCCCCUCAGAGACCCGUGUGGUCCACAAGGCAGGAAACAGCUUGAGGCUAGUCCAGCAUCCAAGGCUGUGAGAGGGCAGAGGACACGGUGGAAAAAUGCGGGGCUUUCCUCGAAUGAGCGUCCGGCGGUGCUCAUAAAUGCAGCGUCCUCAGCUAUCUUUUGGUGGCUUGUGAUGAUAAAGCAAGAAUGUCUUUACAGUAUUGGACUGAAAACCCUGUAGCUUGUGAUGUGUGUGUGAGUUUCCCACAGAACUGAGCUCGACUGAAACCAUGGCUUGAAUGUUUGGGCUUCAAGUCUUCCCAACGACUUCUCAUGGCAGAGAGGUCAUGUUUUUUAACAAUGAGAGGUAUCAGCUUUAACAGCAUGAUGCAUGUAUUCAUGCUCACCUUCAUGUGAAUGCUUCCAACGCUUUGUUCGAAAACAUCCCUGGUGAACACAGUGUUGAAUAUGGAAUUGGGCAUGUUAAAGCUGGAAUAAUAGUUCAUAUUCUAAACAGUCAAGCAACGAUGAUGCUGAUGCUGAUGAAGGGUGAAAGUUCUGUUAAGCAAUGCUUUAGAGCAGCAGAACAUGAUUAAAUUAUUAGUAGCUAACAUUGGAUCGCAAAUGGAAGAGCUCUCUCUUCCAUUUACAUUUAAGAGUUGUAUCUCAGAAGUCGUGUACAGAGGAGAAAUGUGUACUACUACUGUAGAAGGAGGGGGGGGGGGGGGGGUGCAGCUGUGAGCUAGUUAGCAAAUCGCUCUGAGAGCCCUUAGAUCUGCCUGGUAGUCGCAGCGACAUGGGGUUAAGAUAAGAGGAGUGUGUCUACAUGCUUCAGAGCGAAGACCCAGCGCAAACGAAAGGGAUUGGUACUCAGGUUGAAAGGGUAGCCUACUAGCCUACAUUUUCAUCCCGCCGUGUGUAAAGGGGAUACAUACAUAGAUGGACAGAGCGUUGAAUUCCAAAUUAACUUGCCAACCGGU